Micropterus salmoides (largemouth bass) is the source of this 1622-nucleotide long non-coding RNA. RefSeq lists it as uncharacterized. The record is from RefSeq and is a predicted model, not a curated record. Lineage: Eukaryota; Metazoa; Chordata; Actinopteri; Centrarchiformes; Centrarchidae. The transcript has 2 exons.
CAAAACAAUGUAGCGAACUAAGUGCUCUGCCUAAAUGUAAUGUAUGCAUGGAGAUAAUAUUUUAACGGAGUGGCUGUGGUCAUGGAGGGGAGCUGCUGCGAGCACAGACCGGUGUCCUGACGAUCUAUGCUAUACGCAGUCUGCGUGCGCCCUUAAAAUACUGGGUGUGCUAAGGUGGACUUUGGUGAGUAUUUGCAGUGCUCUGUCUUGUUCUGUGUGCGUUGGGGAUAUAGAGGCUUUGGGAGUUAACUGUAGUGUGAUAAAUAUUUGCCGGAUCAAGCAAUACCCAUACAGGCCAUGUGAGAAGGAAGAUAGGACUUGGACUUUAUCUAUUCAUCCUGUGUGUGCUUGAUUGAUAUGAAAUGACAUUUAAAAAAUAAAAAAAUGAGGCAAUAAAAAUAUAAAUAAAUGUAUAAAUGGGGACUUUUAUUUCCAUGGGCGUAACCACACAUUCUUUGGGGCGGGGGUCAUGUCCCCUCUGCCUGUGCAUCUCAUGCUCCAUUUUACCAUUGCUCAUAAACAAGAUCCCGAGAUACUUAAAGGUCCAGUGUGUAAUAUUUAGGAGGAUCUAUUGACAGAAAUGCAAUAUAAUAUCCAUAACUAUGUUUUCAGUGGUGUAUAAAGACCUAACAUAACGAACUGAUGACUGGAAAUUAACACCUGCCAAGCGCCAAAUGCGGGUAGAUUUUCCGUUUGGCUAAAUGACAGAAGGCCACCCGCCACAUUAGCGGGUAAACGUAUUCAUUGCGAUAUCGCCAUAUAAUAACUUUUUGACGGUAGCUAACAGCGGAUCAGUGUUGUUUUUUGUUGUGUGUCACACUUAAAUUGGCCCCCACUGUACAAAGGGAUUAUGUUGUUUGUUCAGUUCAGGUUUCUUGUGUUUGAUUGGUGUAGAUAUGUAAGGGGGUGGGCAUUAGGGGAUUGAAGUUGGGAGCCGUCAGGUCAUGCUACGAGUUCCCCGAGUGUUUUUAGCAUUUAGCUAGCUAGCAACCAGCGUAACAUGCAUACCAGUCAACCAUCCCGUUUUCCUCGGACUACUCCCGUAUUUUACCGUUAUCUCCCACGUCCUCCCGUUAAAAUAUGUCCCCGUAAAUCUCCUUUAUUUAUACCCACUACGUUCCCCUCCAUUAAAGCCGGUGGCAGUAUGUAGAACAGCUCGGUGAAGUCGACAGGAAGGAGAAAAGCAGCGCGACGGGUUCGGGACAGAAGAUGCGUUUCGUUUCUAAACAGAGUAUUUCACAUGCAUUUGCCCCUAAAUGUUACACUGCUGCAAGCAGGGAGGUGACAGUUGGUGUGUUGUGUGUUUAUUUUGUCCCUUUUUGAGCGUGUGAGAGGUGCUUGGUGGGUUUUGGUUUUGUCUAUCUGUGUAUGGCCUGUCUCUCUCUCUCUCCCCCGCUUGUCCUUUCCUCCCUCUCCCUCAGGGCGGAGUUGUGGGCUGCACCACUGGGCGUUUCUCCCCAGCUGCAGAACGCCACUUCUCUGUCAGCCCUGCUUACAGGUGUCGUGCCAAGGCGACACCGGCCUUGCCAGGCCUCGCACUUACCUGCCACACCGGAGGAACCUUACCCCCAGCAUCAAGCUUACCUCACUAUAUCUUGUGUUAAUAAACUGUUAAAAUCCUC